UACGUAGGUGGUAAGCGUUGUCCGGAUUUAUUGGGUUUAAAGGGUGCGUAGGCGGUCUUUUAAGUCAGUGGUGAAAUACUUCAGCUCAACUGGAGAGGUGCCAUUGAUAUUGGGAGACUUGAGUACUGAUGAGGUAGGUGGAAUGGACGGCGUAGCGGUGAAAUGCUUAGAUAUCGUCAAGAACACCGAUAGCGAAGGCAGCUUACUAGACUGUAACUGACGCUGAUGCACGAAAGUGUGGGGAUCAAACAGG
This 253-nucleotide ribosomal RNA is filed under the name uncultured bacterium. Its description in RNAcentral is "partial 16S ribosomal RNA". It matches the Rfam family "Bacterial small subunit ribosomal RNA", at positions 524 to 776 of the family's 1533-position model. The record is from RNAcentral.